GGACGAACGCUGGCGGCGUGCCUAACACAUGCAAGUCGAGCGAGGAGAUCCUUCGGGAUGAUCCUAGCGGCGGACGGGUGAGUAACACGUGGGCAACCUGCCUCAUAGAGAGGAAUAGCCUUCCGAAAGGGAGAUUAAUACCUCAUAACAUUGCAGUUUCGCAUGGAACAGCAAUUAAAGGAGUAAUCCGCUAUGAGAUGGGCCCGCGGCGCAUUAGCUAGUUGGUGAGGUAACGGCUCACCAAGGCGACGAUGCGUAGCCGACCUGAGAGGGUGAUCGGCCACAUUGGGACUGAGACACGGCCCAGACUCCUACGGGAGGCAGCAGUGGGGAAUAUUGCACAAUGGGGGAAACCCUGAUGCAAGCAACGCCGCGUGAGUGAUGACGGCCUUCGGGUUGUAAAGCUCUGUCUUCAGGGACAUAAUGACGGUACCUGAGGAGGAAGCCACGGCUAACUACGUGCCAGCCGCUGC
This 473-nucleotide ribosomal RNA is filed under the name uncultured bacterium. RNAcentral describes it as "bacterial SSU rRNA". It matches the Rfam family "Bacterial small subunit ribosomal RNA", at positions 27 to 518 of the family's 1533-position model. The record is from RNAcentral.